AUGAGCCAAAAGAGAUACCACCAGACCCAUGAUCAUGUAAUACCUCUUCUGGAGGGAGCUGAGCCGAUUAAUCUUAGGUCGUAUAGAUACUCGCACGAUCAAAAGGCAGCCAUUGAAAAGCUGGUCAAUGAAAUGCUAGCAGCUGCUGUGAUUAGGCCAAGCUCAAGUCCUUUGCCCUUUUCAAGUCCUGUACCUGUAGGUAGGAUGGGUGGGAGUUGGCGAUUGUGUAUAGGCCUUACCAUUAAUAAAAAUAUCCCAUUCCUUUCGUGGAUGAACUCUUGGAAGAGGGUAGUCCCAAAUGAAAAAAAGCCAUUUAUCGAUCCCAAGAAGCAAGUGAAUUAG
Molecule: ribosomal RNA, 342 nt
Filed under: Triticum aestivum (bread wheat)
Lineage: Eukaryota; Viridiplantae; Streptophyta; Magnoliopsida; Poales; Poaceae
Description: partial small subunit ribosomal RNA
Source: RNAcentral